RNAcentral lists this unclassified non-coding RNA (262 nucleotides) under Paraglomerales sp. RNAcentral describes it as "partial contains 5.8S ribosomal RNA and internal transcribed spacer 2". The stretch from base 1 to 65 matches the Rfam family "5.8S ribosomal RNA", at positions 84 to 154 of the family's 154-position model. Lineage: Eukaryota; Fungi; Glomeromycota; Glomeromycetes; Paraglomerales. The record is from RNAcentral.
GUGAAUCAUCAAAUUUUUGAACGCAAAUUGCGCCUUUUUCGGAAGGCAUGUCCGUUUGAGGGCACCAUUUAACAAAUAAUGUGCAGCGUUUUUUGCUGCACACGUUGAUGAGCUUUCCAAGAAUUUUAAAUUUUUGGUGGCGCAUAAUGAACAGCGUGAAAGUUUUUUUCAGUUCGAGUGUAGUAAAAUCUUUGCUUGGGUUGUGAAAAGCGUAUUGCCCCAUUGGUGUUGCCAUUUUUUAUUUAUCCUUCCCCCAAUCCCA